UAGGGCGGGACACGUGGUAUCCUGUCUGAAUAUGGGGGGACCAUCCUCCAAGGCUAAAUACUCCUGACUGACCGAUAGUGAACCAGUACCGUGAGGGAAAGGCGAAAAGAACCCCGGCGAGGGGAGUGAAAAAGAACCUGAAACCGUGUACGUACAAGCAGUGGGAGCACGCUUCGGCGUGUGACUGCGUACCUUUUGUAUAAUGGGUCAGCGACUUAUAUUCUGUAGCAAGGUUAACCGAAUAGGGGAGCCGAAGGGAAACCGAGUCUUAACUGGGCGUUAAGUUGCAGGGUAUAGACCCGAAACCCGGUGAUCUAGCCAUGGGCAGGUUGAAGGUUGGGUAACACUAACUGGAGGACCGAACCGACUAAUGUUGAAAAAUUAGCGGAUGACUUGUGGCUGGGGGUGAAAGGCCAAUCAAACCGGGAGAUAGCUGGUUCUCCCCGAAAGCUAUUUAGGUAGCGCCUCGUGAACUCAUCUCCGGGGGUAGAGCACUGUUUCGGCAAGGGGGUCAUCCCGACUUACCAACCCGAUGCAAACUGCGAAUACCGGAGAAUGUUAUCACGGGAGACACACGGCGGGUGCUAACGUCCGUCGUGAAGAGGGAAACAACCCAGACCGCCAGCUAAGGUCCCAAAGUCAUGGUUAAGUGGGAAACGAUGUGGGAAGGCCCAGACAGCCAGGAUGUUGGCUUAGAAGCAGCCAUCAUUUAAAGAAAGCGUAAUAGCUCACUGGUCGAGUCGGCCUGCGCGGAAGAUGUAACGGGGCUAAACCAUGCACCGAAGCUGCGGCAGCGACACUAUGUGUUGUUGGGUAGGGGAGCGUUCUGUAAGCCUGUGAAGGUGUGCUGUGAGGCAUGCUGGAGGUAUCAGAAGUGCGAAUGCUGACAUAAGUAACGAUAAAGCGGGUGAAAAGCCCGCUCGCCGGAAGACCAAGGGUUCCUGUCCAACGUUAAUCGGGGCAGGGUGAGUCGACCCCUAAGGCGAGGCCGAAAGGCGUAGUCGAUGGGAAACAGGUUAAUAUUCCUGUACUUGGUGUUACUGCGAAGGGGGGACGGAGAAGGCUAUGUUGGCCGGGCGACGGUUGUCCCGGUUUAAGCGUGUAGGCUGGUUUUCCAGGCAAAUCCGGAAAAUCAAGGCUGAGGCGUGAUGACGAGGCACUACGGUGCUGAAGCAACAAAUGCCCUGCUUCCAGGAAAAGCCUCUAAGCAUCAGGUAACAUCAAAUCGUACCCCAAACCGACACAGGUGGUCAGGUAGAGAAUACCAAGGCGCUUGAGAGAACUCGGGUGAAGGAACUAGGCAAAAUGGUGCCGUAACUUCGGGAGAAGGCACGCUGAUAUGUAGGUGAAGUCCCUUGCGGAUGGAGCUGAAAUCAGUCGAAGAUACCAGCUGGCUGCAACUGUUUAUUAAAAACACAGCACUGUGCAAACACGAAAGUGGACGUAUACGGUGUGACGCCUGCCCGGUGCCGGAAGGUUAAUUGAUGGGGUCAGCGCAAGCGAAGCUCUUGAUCGAAGCCCCGGUAAACGGCGGCCGUAACUAUAACGGUCCUAAGGUAGCGAAAUUCCUUGUCGGGUAAGUUCCGACCUGCACGAAUGGCGUAAUGAUGGCCAGGCUGUCUCCACCCGAGACUCAGUGAAAUUGAACUCGCUGUGAAGAUGCAGUGUACCCGCGGCAAGACGGAAAGACCCCGUGAACCUUUACUAUAGCUUGACACUGAACAUUGAGCCUUGAUGUGUAGGAUAGGUGGGAGGCUUGGAAGUGUGGACGCCAGUCUGCAUGGAGCCGACCUUGAAAUACCACCCUUUAAUGUUUGAUGUUCUAACGUUGACCCGUAAUCCGGGUUGCGGACAGUGUCUGGUGGGUAGUUUGACUGGGGCGGUCUCCUCCUAAAGAGUAACGGAGGAGCACGAAGGUUGGCUAAUCCUGGUCGGACAUCAGGAGGUUAGUGCAAUGGCAUAAGCCAGCUUGACUGCGAGCGUGACGGCGCGAGCAGGUGCGAAAGCAGGUCAUAGUGAUCCGGUGGUUCUGAAUGGAAGGGCCAUCGCUCAACGGAUAAAAGGUACUCCGGGGAUAACAGGCUGAUACCGCCCAAGAGUUCAUAUCGACGGCGGUGUUUGGCACCUCGAUGUCGGCUCAUCACAUCCUGGGGCUGAAGUAGGUCCCAAGGGUAUGGCUGUUCGCCAUUUAAAGUGGUACGCGAGCUGGGUUUAGAACGUCGUGAGACAGUUCGGUCCCUAUCUGCCGUGGGCGCUGGAGAACUGAGGGGGGCUGCUCCUAGUACGAGAGGACCGGAGUGGACGCAUCACUGGUGUUCGGGUUGUCAUGCCAAUGGCACUGCCCGGUAGCUAAAUGCGGAAGAGAUAAGUGCUGAAAGCAUCUAAGCACGAAACUUGCC
RNAcentral lists this ribosomal RNA (2399 nucleotides) under Escherichia coli. Its description in RNAcentral is "partial 23S ribosomal RNA". It matches the Rfam family "Bacterial large subunit ribosomal RNA", at positions 413 to 2798 of the family's 2925-position model. Lineage: Bacteria; Pseudomonadati; Pseudomonadota; Gammaproteobacteria; Enterobacterales; Enterobacteriaceae. The record is from RNAcentral.